Molecule: transfer RNA, 72 nt
Filed under: Marmota marmota marmota (Alpine marmot)
Lineage: Eukaryota; Metazoa; Chordata; Mammalia; Rodentia; Sciuridae
Also listed under: 1 other name
Rfam family: tRNA
About the family: Transfer RNA (tRNA) molecules are approximately 80 nucleotides in length. Their secondary structure includes four short double-helical elements and three loops (D, anti-codon, and T loops).
Source: Rfam by way of RNAcentral
GGGGGUGCAGCUCAGUGGUAGGGUGCUUGCUUGCCAGGCACGAGGCCCUGGGUUCCACCCCCAGCACCACAG